AAAAGCUCGGGGAUGACUUGUGGGUAGCGGUGAAAUUCCAAUCGAGCCCGGAGAUAGCUGGUUCUCCCCGAAAUAGCUUUAGGGCUAGCCUCAAGGUGAGAGAUACGGAGGUAGAGCACUGAAUGUCCUAGGGGGUAUUGCACCUACCGAAGACUAUCAAACUCCGAAUGCCGUCAUCUUAUACUUGGGAGUCAGACUGUGGGUGAUAAGAUUCAUAGUCGAAAGGGCAACAGCCCAGAUCGUCAGCUAAGGUCCCUAAAUGUAAGUUAAGUGGUAAAGGAUGUGGGAUUGCACAGACAACCAGGAUGUUGGCUUAGAAGCAGCCACUCAUUCAAAGAGUGCGUAAUAGCUCACUGGUCGAGUGAUCCUGCGCCGAAGAUUUCCGGGGCUAAAAC
RNAcentral lists this ribosomal RNA (395 nucleotides) under Clostridioides difficile. RNAcentral's name for it is "partial 23S ribosomal RNA". It matches the Rfam family "Bacterial large subunit ribosomal RNA", at positions 792 to 1187 of the family's 2925-position model. The record is from RNAcentral. Lineage: Bacteria; Bacillati; Bacillota; Clostridia; Peptostreptococcales; Peptostreptococcaceae.